Molecule: non-coding RNA, 82 nt
Organism: Osmerus eperlanus (European smelt)
Lineage: Eukaryota; Metazoa; Chordata; Actinopteri; Osmeriformes; Osmeridae
Source: the annotation of a RefSeq genome assembly
GCUGUGAUGUCCGAGUGGUUAAGGAGUUGGUCUUGAAAUCCAAUGGGGUUUCCCCGCAUAGGUUCGAACCCUACUGGCAGCG